AAGGAGGGAGACAUCAAGCCUGUGAAAAUUUAGGAAACUUCCUGGACUAAAACUAACAUGCACAAAACAGCAACACCACCUACCCCUCCCAUUGCCUUCUUUAGAGUAAGUUCUCUGUUCUGAAGCCUUGGCACAGGCUGACAUCCUUCUUACAUAUUUUACUGAAUUGCAGGUAGGAGCUUGGUCUUUCUCAUCCUUGUAUCUUCUUCAGCUUCAGCAAUUGUACUUCAUCUACACUUGAAUUGCCAAGUGGCAUGGAGCUAUCAUUGCCCCAACACAUAUGAGUAAUACACAAAACUAGAGAAACAAAACUAGAGAACUAUGGAGCACAUUAAACUUUUAGCUCUGCGUUUUAUACUUGUAUGUAUUCUAGCAAUUAUGGUCGUACCCCUCUAUGAAUUUACACCAGCGUGUUCUCUUCUCUGUGAGGUAGAGAAAAGUGAAAGAGAAUUAGAUGUGAUAUAAAUUAGAUCAAUAGCUUGUAUGGAGAAACAUAUUAGGGGAAUACAUUUAUAUUCAUAAGUAAUUUUAUUAUCUCAUUUUCUGGUUUCACAUACCUAUAGUUAAAUGUCUUCACUGUGAAGACAAUAUCCGUGUCUUGAAAUAAUUUUCAUGAAUUCUCUUAUUUCCCAAGUGUGAGAAGAAUUAAUUCUUCAUGAUGUCAAAAUUAGAAAAUGGUUCCAAUGGUUAGGAUUACAAAACUCUUCCAUGUCCUAAUUAAGAACAUUGUUCUCUUAUGACUGAAUUAAUUUCACCAUGAAUGCAGCAUUAAGAUUAAUCUAGUGGAGGGAAUCUUAAGUUUCUAAUAAUUUAAUAUUACUUACAUUUUACCCAUAGAACACUAUUUAAAAUAAAAUCAUUUGAAAAACAUAGAAGUUGACAAAAUAUUAACCUAAAGCAUUAAAUGUAGAAUUUCCUCCUUUAUCACUCCAAAUUUCAAUGGAUUACAUGAAAUAAGUUGUUGGAAAAAAUUUAUUAAAUAGUAUCCCCCUGAAUAUACUAAAUAUACGUAUUUUACUAGACAAGUUUGAAUUAGAGAGACAAAGCUCCUAGGAAUGAUAAUGACUAGGGGAUUUACUAUAGGGAUUCCAACUUACACAUUUGUAGGAGUUGGUUAAACUAUAUAAACCUGCUUUUUUCUACAUUAGACACUGAGACUGAAGUCAGGAAGGCAGGCCAUUGGGAAGGAAAGAUGGUGAAGUGGGGAAGGAACAGGACACAUUGGAGCACAUAAGAGUGAGCUGGAACACAUGCAGGUCUCUUGUCAGCUCCAGCUCCCAACAUCAGUGCUAUUUCUGGCUAGAUGUGAAACUGGUGCCCUUUCCUGUGAAGCUAACCACAGCACUGGCCCAAGAGUCACAGAAGAUAAAGGAAGAGACCCAAGAGGAGUUGGACGAGCAAGUCCUGCUGCUGCUGCAGACGCUGCACACACUGGUCUAGGAUUUUGAGAAACUGAAGGAGGAGAUCCAGCUGUUGCUGGAGUGACUGUCAGCUGGCCCUGCUCCACUUAGACAAGGUGAGCCAGCCCAUCAGAAACAAUGUGCCUGAUUUGCAAUGGCACCCGAUGUCUUGCAUUGUAAUUGCAUUGACCUUCCCAGUAUAAAAGGAUAUGACUGUUGCUGCUUCUCUUCCACUUUUCAAAUGUCAUCUAAAGUAUCUCUUGCAGCCCACAGGAAUUUGGAAUUAUGCUAAAAAGUGGAUUCUGAGAAUCAUGUUUGUAACUUAAAUGAGCUUACACAGUGCAUAUCACCUUGCAUAUGUCAAAAUAAAAAAUGAAAUAAAAAUCGAUACAAUCUCUUCUUCUCCCUGGAGUAAAGACAGUAUCUUUUUUCUGAAUACUAUGUGUUCAUCAGUCUUCUCAUCACAGCUUCAGUGCCUGUAUCAGAUAACAUCUUAGGAAGUCUCAUCCAGGCUACCCUUCCUCCAGACACACUGGAUAUGAUCUUAAUUGCUAGAAUAUUAAGAGAAGAUAAUAAGAUAAGAAGGGAAGCAGCAACCAUAUGAUGUGAUAAUUGUGAGUCUGGGACCUGGAAGCUUUACAAAAGAUAUUGGGUAAUAAAGACUUGGAGACUUACAUGUUUAACUUCCUUAUCCAGAGUGAUCUGAUGGGCAUAUUUAUUAUGAUGAUGGUAAAGAUAUUAAGUUCAAAUUCAACCCCCAUCUGAGAGGACUGGAAGACUGUUUAAGUUGUCAGGGUAGCCUGACAAUGAACCAGGGCUGCAUACAAACCAUUAGUGAAAACUGCAAAGAUACAUGUAACACACAGGCAAAUAUACAAAGAGAACCUUGUAUGGAGUGUAAAAGAAGCAUACGCCUACAAACUGCUGGAGGCUUUGAAAGCAAUUUACCGAGAAAGCUUUUUACAGUGGCCCACUUUGGAGCCAUCGAUAAUUAACUAAACAAAUAUUUCAGAGUGUAUCCAACUGGUUUCAGCCAAUUUCCUUAGGGAGUUGUGAUACUUUAAAUUCCAUAUAAUGAUACUGUUGGAUCAGUGUCUUCAGCUGCAGUAUGUAAGCACACAGGACUUGAUUCAUGAUCAUAUGGGUAAUAAUUUGAGAUCAAUAUUUUAAAUAAUGUAAUAGAAAACCAGCAAGGAAUCUCUCACAAGUAAUAAAUAGCGCUUGAGCCUUAGUUGUGGGUAUAUGGAGUCAUUAUGAAUUCUGCCAAGUAUAUAGAUUUAUGCUUAUACAAAUUACUGAGUGAUAAAAGACAACAUUUCUCAUAAUAGCAAUAUGGUUUCAUAACCUAUCCAAGAGCAUAGGUUUCUUCAUGUAGGACACCAAGAAACCAAAGCAUUAUUCUAACCACUUAUUCAUAAUAGGUCUGACUUUAGCAGCUGAUAUUUCUGCCUUGCAGAGACUCUGUUUUUCCCAGUCUUGAGAUGAGAUGUGAAGCUUGUCUUAUUCACACUGCGUGGCAUAUGGAAAGAAGCUCAGGCUUUAGAGGCAGAAAUACAUCUGCUCGAGGGAUCUGCUUAGUGCUAGUUUCUGCUUCUGUAAAAUGCGAAU
RNAcentral lists this long non-coding RNA (3008 nucleotides) under Homo sapiens (human). Its description in RNAcentral is "HSALNT0204351". Lineage: Eukaryota; Metazoa; Chordata; Mammalia; Primates; Hominidae. The record is from RNAcentral.